GCCAGACUCCUACGGGAGGCAGCAGUGGGGGAUAUUGCACAAUGGGGGGAACCCUGAUGCAGCGACGCCGCGUGGGUGAAGGAGCGUUUCGGCGCGUAAAGCCCUAUCGGCAGGGAAGAAGGAGGACGGUACCUGACUAAGAAGCCCCGGCUAACUACGUGCCAGCAGCCGCGGUAAUACGUAGGGGGCAAGCGUUAUCCGGAUUUACUGGGUGUAAAGGGGGCGCAGACGGCAGCGCAAGCCAGGAGUGAAAGCCCGGGGCCCAACCCCGGGACUGCUCUUGGAACUGCGCGGCUGGAGUGCAGGAGGGGCAGGCGGAAUUCCUGGUGUAGCGGUGAAAUGCGUAGAUAUCAGGAGGAACACCGGUGGCGAAGGCGGCCUGCUGGACGGCGACUGACGUUGAGGCCCGAAAGCGUGGGGAGCAAACAGGAUUAGAUACCCGAGUAAAC
RNAcentral lists this ribosomal RNA (449 nucleotides) under uncultured bacterium. Its description in RNAcentral is "partial 16S ribosomal RNA". It matches the Rfam family "Bacterial small subunit ribosomal RNA", at positions 330 to 795 of the family's 1533-position model. The record is from RNAcentral.